Molecule: ribosomal RNA, 465 nt
Filed under: uncultured bacterium
Lineage: Bacteria
Description: partial 16S ribosomal RNA
Rfam family: Bacterial small subunit ribosomal RNA
Source: RNAcentral
CCUACGGGUGGCAGCAGUGGGGAAUAUUGCGCAAUGGGCGAAAGCCUGACGCAGCGACGCCGCGUGAGGGAUGAAGGUCUUCGGAUCGUAAACCUCUGUCAGCAGGGAAGAACGGUCACUGUGCUAAUCAGCAGUGAAUUGACGGUACCUGCAAAGGAAGCACCGGCUAACUACGUGCCAGCAGCCGCGGUAAUACGGAGGGUGCGGCCGUUAAUCGGAAUUUCUGGGCGUAAAGCGCUGGUAGGCGGUAUUUCAAGUAAAGGGUGAAAUCCCCGCGCUCAACGUGGGAACUGCCUGUGAAACUGGCAAACUGGAGUGUGUGAGAGGAUAGUGGAAUUCCAGGUGUAGGAGUGAAAUCCGUAGAUAUCUGGAGGAACAUCAGUGGCGAAGGCGACUAUCUGGCACAUAACUGACGCUGAGGAGCGAAAGCGUGGGUAGCAAACAGGAUUAGAUACCCCUGUAGUC